RNAcentral lists this small RNA (174 nucleotides) under Chelonoidis abingdonii (Abingdon island giant tortoise). Its description in RNAcentral is "TUC338 (ENSCABG00000004112.1)". Lineage: Eukaryota; Metazoa; Chordata; Testudines; Testudinidae. The record is from RNAcentral.
UUGAAAGCUGUGGGGACUUGAAAUCUUGUAUUUUUCCACAGAAAAAACACAUCUUGGGAAGAAGUAACGCACGCUUCCCAGCAUUACUCUGCAAGGGUAACCCUGACCUAGAGAAACCACCUCUACAGCUGACAGGGUAGAGCAGUCUCCAUGUGUAUUCAGUUCUUGGCUCUC